AGUAGCUCAAUUGGAUAGAGCAUCCCCCUCCUAAGGGGAAGGUUGGAGGUUCUUGUACAGUCAAGAUUUCACUGCACAUUGGAACCUUGUAAAAUCUGAGCCCCGCCA
Molecule: transfer RNA, 108 nt
Filed under: Aquipseudomonas ullengensis
Lineage: Bacteria; Pseudomonadati; Pseudomonadota; Gammaproteobacteria; Pseudomonadales; Pseudomonadaceae
Description: Pseudomonas sp. UL070 tRNA-Arg
Source: RNAcentral